This 888-nucleotide ribosomal RNA is filed under the name Pseudomonas sp. Its description in RNAcentral is "bacterial SSU rRNA". It matches the Rfam family "Bacterial small subunit ribosomal RNA", at positions 54 to 962 of the family's 1533-position model. Lineage: Bacteria; Pseudomonadati; Pseudomonadota; Gammaproteobacteria; Pseudomonadales; Pseudomonadaceae. The record is from RNAcentral.
CWUGCAUUUCGCGCGGUAGAGAGAAGCUUGCUUCUCUUGAGAGCGGCGGACGGGUGAGUAAUGCCUAGGAAUCUGCCUGGYAGCGGGGGACAACGUUCGUCAACGGAAGCUAAUACCGCAUACGUCCUACGGGAGAAAGCAGGGGACCUUCGGGCCUUGYSCUAUCUGAUGAGCCUAGGUCGGAUUAGCUAGUUGGUGAGGUAAUGGCUCACCAAGGCGACGAUCCGUAACUGGKCUGAGAGGAUGAUCAGUCACACUGGAACUGAGMCASGGUCCASACUCCUACGGGAGGCAGCAGUGGGGAAUAUUGGACAAUGGGCGAAAGCCUGAUCCAGCCAUGCCGCGUGUGUGAAGAAGGUCUUCGGAUUGUAAAGCACUUUAAGUUGGGAGGAAGGGUUGUAGAUUAAUACUCUGCAAUUUUGACGUUACCGACAGAAUAAGCACCGGCUAACUCUGUGCCAGCAGCCGCGGUAAUACAGAGGGUGCAAGCGUUAAUCGGAAUUACUGGGCGUAAAGCGCGCGUAGGUGGUUUGUUAAGUUGGAUGUGAAAUCCCCGGGCUCAACCUGGGAACUGCAUUCAAAACUGACUGACUAGAGUAUGGUAGAGGGUGGUGSAAUUUCCUGUGUAGCGGUGAAAUGCGUAGAUAUAGGAAGGAACACCAGUGGCGAAGGCGACCACCUGGACUAAUACUGACACUGAGGUGCGAAAGCGUGGGGAGCAACCAGGAUUAGAUACCCUGGUAGUCCACGYCGUAACGAUGUCACUAGCCGUUGGAAGCCUGAGCUUUUAGUGGCSCAGCUAACGCAUAAGUGACCGCUGGGAGUACGCGCAGUUAACYCAAUGAUGACGGGGCCGCCAGCGKGGACAUGGGGUAGUCGAAGCUACGC